RNAcentral lists this ribosomal RNA (428 nucleotides) under uncultured bacterium. RNAcentral describes it as "partial 16S ribosomal RNA". It matches the Rfam family "Bacterial small subunit ribosomal RNA", at positions 354 to 796 of the family's 1533-position model. The record is from RNAcentral.
GUAGGGAAUAUUGCACAAUGGAGGAAACUCUGAUGCAGCGACGCCGCGUGAGUGAUGAAGGCCUUCGGGUCGUAAAGCUCUGUCGCAGGGGAAUAACACAAUGAAGGUACCCUGUAAGAAAGGCUCGGCUAACUUCGUGCCAGCAGCCGCGGUAAGACGAGGGCUCCUAGCGUUGUUCGGAAUCAUUGGGCGUAAAGCGGAUGUAGGUGGCUAUGUAAGUCAGAUGUGAAAGCCUGGGGCUCAACCCCAGAAGUGCAUUUGAUAAUGGGUAGCUUGAGUGUCGGAGAGGUUACUAGAAUUGUUGGUGUAGUGGUGAAAUACGUAGAUAUCAACAGGAAUACCGGAGGCGAAGGCGGGUAACUGGCCGAACACUGACACUGAGAUCCGAAAGCGUGGGGAUCAAACAGGAUUAGAUACCCCAGUAGUCC